UACUGCUAAUACCGCAUGACAACUGAGGUUUAAAGGCGCGAGUCGCCUGAGGAGGAGCCUGCGUUCGAUUAGCUAGUUGGUGGGGUAAAGGCCUACCAAGGCGACGAUCGAUAGCUGGUCUGAGAGGAUGAUCAGCCACACUGGGACUGAGACACGGCCCAGACUCCUACGGGAGGCAGCAGUGGGGAAUAUUGGACAAUGGGCGCAAGCCUGAUCCAGCAAUGCCGCGUGGGUGAAGAAGGUUUUCGGAUUGUAAAGCCCUUUUGGCAGGGACGAUGAUGACGGUACCUGCAGAAUAAGCCCCGGCUAACUUCGUGCCAGCAGCCGCGGUAAUACGAAGGGGGCUAGCGUUGCUCGGAAUGACUGGGCGUAAAGGGCGCGUAGGCGGCGAUCAAAGUCAGGCGUGAAAUUCCUGGGCUCAACCUGGGGGCUGCGCUUGAUACUUGGUUGCUUGAGUGGGGAAGAGGGUCGUGGAAUUCCCAGUGUAGAGGUGAAAUUCGUAGAUAUUGGGAAGAACACCGGUGGCGAAGGCGGCGACCUGG
RNAcentral lists this ribosomal RNA (542 nucleotides) under Acidisoma sp. Its description in RNAcentral is "bacterial SSU rRNA". It matches the Rfam family "Bacterial small subunit ribosomal RNA", at positions 158 to 732 of the family's 1533-position model. Lineage: Bacteria; Pseudomonadati; Pseudomonadota; Alphaproteobacteria; Acetobacterales; Acidocellaceae. The record is from RNAcentral.